UUUGUAUUUGCUUCAACUCUCCCUGAUUGAUGAUGGGUACCUGAUGUUGUUGAGGACCCGAUUGCAUUAUUUUAUUAUUUUAUUAUUUUUUCUCUUUCUCUGAAUUGCCGUGUUUAAUCCCCCUCAAGAUUUUCAUUUAUUUAUUUUAUUUACUUAUUUUUGCCUCAUUAAAAUUGGCGUCGAUAUUUGGAAUCGGAUUACAGCAUUUGAAGCCUACGCUCUGGGAGCGACACACGAGGUUGCUUGAAUUCUUCCGCUUGUAUGAGUUUAAGUGGAUGUAGGAAGACGUGAUUUUUUCUACUAAUAGUGUCAGCGAAGAUUGUGACAUUUGGUACCAAAAAAUAUUUCAUAUCGUUAGGGCUACAUCAUAAUUAUGUUAAUGUUUUAUUAAGGGUGGAAAAUUAUUAAGUUUGUGCACAUUAAAAAAAUUACAAAUAACAAAAGUUUUGAAUUGAAGUUGUAACAAAAAUAAAUGGAAAUGGUUGCAAGUGUAAUUCUUCACCUGUAUGGUGUCUUAAAAAUACUAGAACUCAAUUUGUUCUCAAUGUUAGGGGUGGAGUAGUUUUCAUGUGUGGAAUAGCUGGGCUUGAAAUGAUCGAUAAACUUUAGAAAAUAACAUGAUCUUUUCGCUCAAUCACAUGGUGAAAUAGGCCAUUAGUGGAUUUUUGUUAACAAGAUGAACAUACGUUUCAUUUUUCUUUUUGGUCAUACAACAGAACAAUACGUUGCACAAAAGAAGCCUAGUACAAUUAUGGAAGAUUAAAUUAUACGGUUUCAAGCAGCAGUGGUGCUGCGUAAGACCUAUCAUUUAAUGCUCAUGCAGCUCUGAAUACAGAACCUUUUAAUGUAUUUCCAACUAUACCAUGUUCAUGUCCAACUCAAUCUAGAAGCAUGUAAAAAAGAAACAUAAAAAAUCAACAUUUGAGUUUCUAGCAAUCAAAAUGGACACUGAAUACAAAAGAUUGCAGUGUGAGGAAAAGACAAUCUGAUUCUGUAUUAAAAAAAGAAAAGAAAAUAAAAUCAUUUCAGCUGUCGUGGUGUAUAUGAUAUCUGCGGUUUCGACAUCAUUCUCGUGAGAUAAAAAUAACUGUUCUGACUAAAAACUGCUUUGUAGUUUCUGGCAGGGGAUUAGGUGGCCCAGAUGCCACAUCAAUGUAUAAUACAAAAUCUCCAGCAGAUGUCGAAGUUCAAUCCAAGAGUUCAGUUAGACUCUUCCCUAUUCAAUGCAGUAAUUGUUAUAUCUAGUUUCUCCAGCUCCUCGC
Molecule: long non-coding RNA, 1262 nt
Filed under: Physcomitrium patens
Lineage: Eukaryota; Viridiplantae; Streptophyta; Bryopsida; Funariales; Funariaceae
Description: long non-coding RNA (PPAT_LNC013807)
Source: RNAcentral